Molecule: long non-coding RNA, 308 nt
Filed under: Dermacentor andersoni
Lineage: Eukaryota; Metazoa; Arthropoda; Arachnida; Ixodida; Ixodidae
Description: uncharacterized LOC126534245
Source: RNAcentral
GUGCCACCGAAAUUGCAAUCAGCGGACCAUUGAGCGUGCGUAGCAACGAUCGGCUCCGGGUUGCAGUAUGACGGGUUGCAGUGCACCAAACUGCGCAAAUCACACGGAAGAUGGCAAAGCUUUUUACGCGGUGCCGUGCGGACGGACGAGACCGGCCGGCUCCGAAAGGGACCGGGAUAUGCGAGGUCCGUUCGCCUUGUUUACAGAGUGGCUUUGAAUUCUGCCCCCCGAGGCUCAAAGAACCAGCGCUCAUCCCCUCCUGCCACCAGCCAUUGCUCAUCCAUUCCCUUGUACGAAAUAAAUUUGUU